CAGCCGCCGCGGUAAUACGUAGGUCCCGAGCGUUGUCCGGAUUUAUUGGGCGUAAAGCGAGCGCAGGCGGUUAGAUAAGUCUGAAGUUAAAGGCUGUGGCUUAACCAUAGUAUGCUUUGGAAACUGUUUAACUUGAGUGCAGAAGAGGAGAGCGGAAUUCCAUGUGUAGCGGUGAAAUGCGUAGAUAUAUGGAGGAACACCAGUGGCGAAGGCGGCUCUCUGGUCUGUAACUGACGCUGAGGCUCGAAAGCCAGGGGAGCGAACGGGAUUAGAUACCCCAGUAGUCCCUGUCUCUUAUACA
Molecule: ribosomal RNA, 301 nt
Filed under: uncultured bacterium
Lineage: Bacteria
Description: partial 16S ribosomal RNA
Rfam family: Bacterial small subunit ribosomal RNA
Source: RNAcentral